GUGAGGAAUUUUCCGCAAUGGGCGAAAGCCUGACGGAGCAAUGCCGCGUGAAGGAUGAAGGCCUAUGGGUUGUAAACUUCUUUUCUCAGAAAAGAAUUAUGACGGUAUCUGAGGAAUAAGCAUCGGCUAACUCUGUGCCAGCAGCCGCGGUAAGACAGAGGAUGCAAGCGUUAUCCGGACUGAUUGGUCGUAAAGCGUCUGUAGGUUGUUUAAAAAGUAUUCUGUCAAAGAUUAGGGCUUAACCCUAGAUAGGCAGAAUAAACUUUUAAGCUAGAGUUUGGUAGAGGCAGAGGGAAUUCCCGGUGGAGCGGUGAAAUGCGUAGAUAUCGGGAGGAACACCAAAGGCGAAGGCACUCUGCUGGGCCAAUACUAACACUGAGAGACGAAAGCGAGGGGAGCAAAUGGGAUUAGAUACCCCAGUAGUCC
RNAcentral lists this ribosomal RNA (426 nucleotides) under uncultured bacterium. Its description in RNAcentral is "partial 16S ribosomal RNA". It matches the Rfam family "Bacterial small subunit ribosomal RNA", at positions 354 to 796 of the family's 1533-position model. The record is from RNAcentral.